Long non-coding RNA from Colias croceus (clouded yellow), 845 nucleotides. RefSeq lists it as uncharacterized. Lineage: Eukaryota; Metazoa; Arthropoda; Insecta; Lepidoptera; Pieridae. The record is from RefSeq and is a predicted model, not a curated record. The transcript is spliced from 2 exons.
CGUGAACGUAUUAUAAAACAUUUUUAAUGUUAUUGACACGAGAAUUCGAAAACGGCCACCUCCAAUGAUAUUUAUCAACCGUGAUUACAAUUGCUUUGGUAAAAAUCAGCAUUCGUAACCAGUUACUUGGUGCUGUUGUAAGCGGUGCACGUAUAUAAGACACUUGUUGAGUUCAACAUAAAAUCCGAAAUAUGACAUAUGCUUUCAUAAUAGUGGUGUCCGUGGCAAUAACAUUAAAACUAUUGUUUAUGAGCUUCUCUUUAUACUUUACCCUCAAACGUGAUGGAUCAGAAACGAAGGAGGGAUCAACAAAGAAGAACGGAAAAGGAAUAAUGGCAAAGUGCAAACAAAUCACUCGAGCAUUCAUGCCAAAAAUGAAUUGUUGUCCGGAUGGAAAAGACAAAUAUAACUUAAACUACAGUUGAAACUCUUUAUCAAUUUGUAAUUUAGAUAUUCAUUAUACUAUUCAUCAAUUUUAAUAAUUACUUCCACGUAUGUACAUAUAGGUGUGGCUGCUAAAUUCAUAUUAUCUAUGCAUACUUAUAUUUUUAAUUUGAUGCGAAUAUUAUUUGUACUGUAAAAACUUUUUAUUAAAUGUAAAGUAAAAAAUAUAAAAUAGUUUGUUAUCCGAAGCCGCAGCUCCAAUGCUGGACUAACUUUAUAUACUUACUAACCUAUUGUCGAUAACAUUUAGAAAUAACGUUUCUCUCAGAUUCGAUAUGGAACUGAGAUUGCUCUCACAAAUUUUUGUGCGGAUGGAUAUGGCUGGCUUCAGUUUUUACUUUUUACAUACGAAACGUUUUUGGUAUUAAACAUAUAAAAAUAUAUUUAAGGAUUUAAUAAAA